UGAGGAACAUGACCUUCGGCGGGGGAGUAGCCGGCCCAACGGCCGGGUAAUACCGCGUACGACCACAUGGGGACAUCCCUGAGUGGUGAAAGCAGCAAUGCGCCGAUGGAGUGCCUCGCGGCCUAUCAGCUUGUUGGUGAGGUAAUGGCUCACCAAGGCGACGACGGGUAGCCGGCCUGAGAGGGUGACUGGCCACACUGGGACUGAGACACGGCCCAGACUCCGUAGGGAGG
RNAcentral lists this ribosomal RNA (233 nucleotides) under uncultured bacterium. RNAcentral's name for it is "partial 16S ribosomal RNA". It matches the Rfam family "Bacterial small subunit ribosomal RNA", at positions 118 to 348 of the family's 1533-position model. The record is from RNAcentral.